Long non-coding RNA from Silurus meridionalis, 1033 nucleotides. RefSeq lists it as uncharacterized. The transcript is spliced from 3 exons. Lineage: Eukaryota; Metazoa; Chordata; Actinopteri; Siluriformes; Siluridae. The record is from RefSeq and is a predicted model, not a curated record.
UGUUUAGAUCCUUCUUCUGGCAAUGAAAGUGACCAGGAAGAUGCAUCAUUGCUUCCUUGCAUUCCUCCUUAUAUACCCUAUACUCCUUAUAUAUCCUAUAUAUUGCGUUCACAUGACAAUGUGAAUGCUUCACUUUUGAAGGAGGAGGCGGACUCCAUCUUGGCAAACUCUUUCCAGAACUCCCGGGAGCAGCACGACAGAGGGAAAGGCAUACAGGCGCAGCUAAAUACUCUUGUCACAGGGGGAAGAAACUGCUGAAAGACACUGCUGUGCCGCUCUGUCUCAGCGAGAGCGGUGCUACAACUGCAAGGUGCAGGGGCACCCUCCUCGAAGAGUGUCCACCGGCAAGCCACCCAGGCACUCCCGGUAAUGGAUGAUGUAAACAGUGAUCUUGCUGACUUCAUCGGAUUUGUGCUACCAAAAAUAAAAAUUCAAAAGACCUGGUGUUGGAGACUCUCCAGACCUUAGGUGUGGAAACCCUGGAAGAUCUGAAAUAUCUCGAGGAGCCAGAUCGUGUUAACACCCUGAGGCCUAUUGAAGCAAGAAUUAUUUUUUGCACGGAUGAAAGUAUAUUUAAUUGUAAAUACAGUGCAGAUCAUUUCAACUCUCUGUUAUCCACCUCAAGCUCAAGGGACAACAACUUUCAAUUUUGAGAUACCCUGGAGUAAACAUCUUAGUGAAAUUUCCAAGAAGAUUGCAUCAGCGUAUCUUCAUUCAUUCAGAGAUGUUGUUGAAGGUCAAGUUGUUGUUGUGUAGAAGUUAUGACUCUCUUACCAAGCAGCUGCAGAGUUGACCACAUGAAACGGGGGAAAAUCUCACUAUAGCUGAAGAGAACAAACAUCCAGCUCAAGUCAGGGAGAAAACCCACCUUCCAAGAUAAGAGUGAAACCUAUUGCUGUAUAACUUGGCAACCAAAUCAAUUACCGCCAGGUAAAAUUGAGGAGAACAUCAAAAGUAUUGAAAAUAAAACGGUGCAUUUUUUUUACACGUCUAGCAGCAGUAUAAUAAGUAGAAUGACCCAGUGAUUUGACCC